This 660-nucleotide ribosomal RNA is filed under the name uncultured Bacteroidota bacterium. Its description in RNAcentral is "bacterial SSU rRNA". It matches the Rfam family "Bacterial small subunit ribosomal RNA", at positions 72 to 731 of the family's 1533-position model. The record is from RNAcentral. Lineage: Bacteria; Pseudomonadati; Bacteroidota.
AGGUCUCUUCGGAGAUACACGAGUGGCGGACGGGUGAGUAACACGUACGCAACCUACCUUGUACUGGAGAAUAGCCCCGGGAAACUGGGAUUAAUACUCCAUAGUCUUCAAUGAUCGCAUGAGAAAUGAAGUAAAACUCCGGUGGUACAAGAUGGGCGUGCGCCCCAUUAGAUAGUUGGUGAGGUAACGGCUCACCAAGUCAGCGAUGGGUAGCUGGCGUGAGAGCGCGACCAGUCACACUGGCACUGAGACACGGGCCAGACUCCUACGGGAGGCAGCAGUAGGGAAUAUUGGUCAAUGGGCGAAAGCCUGAACCAGCCAUGCCGCGUGGAGGAUGACGGCUCUCAGAGUUGUAAACUCCUUUUAUAUGGGAAGAAACCCCCGGAUUCAUCCGGGGCUGACGGUACCAUACGAAUAAGCACCGGCUAACUCCGUGCCAGCAGCCGCGGUAAUACGGAGGGUGCAAGCGUUAUCCGGAUUCACUGGGUUUAAAGGGUGCGCAGGCGGAAAUUUAAGUCAGUGGUGAAAGCCCCGAGCUCAACUUGGGAACUGCCAUUGAUACUGAUUUUCUUGAAUAUAGUUGAGGCUGGCGGAAUACAACAUGUAGCGGUGAAAUGCAUAGAUAUGUUGUAGAACACCAAUUGCGAAGGCAGCUAGCUA